Molecule: ribosomal RNA, 305 nt
Filed under: uncultured bacterium
Lineage: Bacteria
Description: bacterial SSU rRNA
Rfam family: Bacterial small subunit ribosomal RNA
Source: RNAcentral
UACGCCCUACGGGGCGCAGCAGUAGGGAAUUUUCGUCAAUGGGCGCAAGCCUGAACGAGCAAUGCCGCGUGAACGAGGAAGGUCUUCGGAUCGUAAAGUUCUGUUGAAGGGGAAAAAGAGCGGAGAGAGGAAAUGAACUCCGAUUGAUAUUACCCUUCGAGGAAGUCACGGCUAACUACGUGCCAGCAGCCGCGGUAAUACGUAGGUGGCGAGCGUUAUCCGGAAUGAUUGGGCGUAAAGGGUGCGUAGGCGGCCUGCUAAGUCUGAUGUGAAAGCCUUCGGCUCAACCGGAGAAUUGCAUCAGA